AGAUUGAUAAAAAAAAAAAAAUUAAAUAAAAUUCUAUAAAAUUCUAAUUUCACAAGUGAUAAGGUUUAUCUGGGAGUUUUCAGUUUUCAAUUAUCAGAGAGCAAAUGACUCUUGAUCCCUUUGUUAUCUGAGGGAGGUUGUUCCCUGGAAUCAUUUCAUAUUCCAGGGGAAGGUUCUUCUUUGUAGGUGAUAACCAUGGAUUAAAUGGUUGACAUUGAGACUAGAGAAAAUGAUUACCACAAGAAACUAUGGGCCUAUAAAAAUGAAAUACGAGGGCAAGGAUUGAAGGAUAAAGCCCUUUAAUUAAUCCAUAGCCCAAUUCAAAAUCCAAAACAGGCUUUUUUAAUAAUGAAAGGUAGGUUUUUGUUUAGUGAUUUUUUUUUUUUUAACGUUUUGUUUACUGAACUUUAUUUUAUUCUCAAAUAUAAAUUUUAGUCUCUACGGGUCAGUUUGAUAGGAUG
This 461-nucleotide unclassified non-coding RNA is filed under the name Hevea brasiliensis (rubber tree). Lineage: Eukaryota; Viridiplantae; Streptophyta; Magnoliopsida; Malpighiales; Euphorbiaceae. The record is from RNAcentral.